CCUGCUGCUGCUGCUACUGCUCCUUCUAAUCACGGCCCCCUCGGCGCCCCCCUUCUCCGAGGCCAGUCGCCUGCCCUCCUCCCAGUCCUCUCCCCUCUCCGAGAAGGGAAGAAGCGAGAGGGAGAGGUGGGAGGGGGCAAGAGCAGCGUCCAAAGAGAGCGGGAGAGGAAUCCUUUUUUGGGAGAGCAGUUAGGAGGGCUGGGGUGGGGGUGGGGGCUGUCUUUGUUUAAAUGCUUGGCAUUCCUGUCAUCGUGCUUGCUUACGGGGUAGACCCUGUGUGUGCGUGCGCCUGGGGAAUAAACACAUGUUGGAAGCCUCGAUAUUAUUUUCUAAGCAGAAACCUGCAGCCUUUAGUAACUGGCAAAGUGUAGCGUCACCUAUCUGGAUAAAAGGGAAAUAAACUUUAAUGGCAACUUUGUGUACCGAAGAGUCCCUAGCUCCUUUUCUCUCCUUUUGACUUUGUGCCACUUGAUCGUACAUGGUAUUCCCCCACGCGAGGCUUCCCCACUUUUCAGUCACUGCCGCCGCAUCCUGCCUCAUCGAAUUUCAUUUCUGGUUGUUUUCUAAACUGUAGCCAUUUGCUCUUAUUUCAGUGGCUGUCGGGGCCCAGCCAGGAUGGGAGGGGGGGCGGUGUUGAGAUAAGCAGGAGAUACUUGGGAAGAAUUCUUACACUUCAAAGAAGAAAAGAGGCUGCUGCUGGAUUUUGGUUGGUCCUCAUCUGGUCUGCUCAAUCUAUAGGAAUUGAAGGGCCUCCUCUUAAAGGAAAAUUUAAAGCAAAAAGAAGAAAAGAUAAAGAAAUCCGUCCAGAGUGGAUGUUAGCCUGAUCAUACCACCUAUUUGGAGGAAAGAAAUAGUACCUACCCUUGCCUUUUCGAUGACAAAAUAAACAAUGAGAUCCUGCUGUAUAGCGCCGGGAA
Molecule: long non-coding RNA, 917 nt
Filed under: Sus scrofa (pig)
Lineage: Eukaryota; Metazoa; Chordata; Mammalia; Artiodactyla; Suidae
Description: lncRNA (ENSSSCG00055026676.1)
Source: RNAcentral